GGCAUAAUGAACACGACAGCUGGAAACUGACUGCAAUAGCCAGAAAACAGAAAACAGAACGUUUCCCACAUGCACUCAAAGCACUUCAACCAAACAGAUCAGUCCAUGCUCUCUUCUUUGUAAAUCACUGGUGCUCCCACUCCUUGAUUACUGUAGCAGUGUGUGGGACCCCUCAUCUUCUAGUGCUAUCAAUCAGCUGGAGCCUGUUUAGAAGUUCGCAACUAGAUCGACUUGAGAUUUGUACUAAACGCUGGUCAAGACUGUCUCUUAUCGGUCAUUUUUUUUUGUAAAUAUGUUGUUCCACUUUGGAAAUUAAAUAAUGUACUUAGUUCGCCUGUUUUCUUUACUUUCCUGUUUGCUCACUUGGUUUUUUUUUGGAUUAAUUGUCCUUAUACUGUUAUGUCUGUACGGUAUAGUGCAACAUUUUUGAGGCACUUAAAUUUCGUGGAAUGGCCUCUAAAAGCAUUUCGUGGGUCACUGUUUACCGAAACACUCCCAGGCUACGCCUUCAAUCUUCGCACAUUAUAUAAGUUUACAGAUAAAGAUUCGUGUAGCAUUGCUGCUCAUGAAAACAGCGAAUUUUUCGUGCUAUACGGUAUAAUUAUGCCACUGUUAUUUUUCUUGUUGUUUUGGUUAGGAUUACCUUAAUAUUAACUUUCACUUGCUAUUAUUUCAGGUGCUAUUAUUUUGGUAUGCUCCUUAAUAUGCUCUAAAAAAAUAAAUAAAAACAACUGGUGGUAGGAAAUAUAGACUAACUGUAAAGCAGUAGCUAGAGUGAUAGAUUUUGCCAAAAAGUGCAGUAAAAAAAAAUGUUGAAAGGAAAUUAACACGGAAGUACAUGUAAUAUGUUAUAUACAUUAAUUUCUGUUCGUAAUGACCUUUCUUGUCAACCAUAACUGUUUGGUAUUUCAUAUCGUCGUAGAUGUUUGAAGGCACAACGUGGAAAUGAGCUAUCGAUUACUUCUUGACAGGCCUUUAUCUAUGGUUUGACUGAUGUGUGAGUAUGUGUUCUAAAACAAAUCAUUUCUUUGCAUGAACUUUCUAACCAAGCUAUCUGGGUUUACAGAUAGAAUAAGGGACGUCGCUUUCAACGGAAUUACAUGGGUGGAUACAGCGACAAAAUCCACUUCUCGUUUCGCGAGAAAGUUUUGUCCUCUACCUCUUAAUUUUUCUUCUUUCUCCGUUUUUGUAUGCACGCUGCUGAGGAUUAUUACUUGGACCACUUGCUUCUACGUCGAUCACUCCAUUUUAAUGCUAAACAAUUUAAGUGGACAAUCUUUUUGUUCAAGAUUUUGGAUAGGGUUUGACUAAUGUGUUAUUGCUCUCAACACCAGUUCGUUCUAUGAAUUUUCGUACCCAUCCCAUCUGAUGCUUUAAAAUUAGUCAAGGUAGAUUCAUGCACUGUACAAACAACUCGUCCUUUCUCCACACAACAAGGUCACAAUACAUAUACUGAACAUUAUUUAAUUUGUCGUCAGCCUGAAGCCCUCCCUCCACCCUUUAAGGACCCUCUCUUUUAAAGACGACUAUACCGAGACAAAAUCUGUGGGUAUGAUAAACGUCCUUCAUGAAUCAACAAAUUAUCCGCCUGAUCACCAUCUGUAUUUACAUUGUAAUAAUUGACUCCCUUGAAGACUUUGAAUGUCAACAUGCAGUUUCUUCCUUGGUUGUCCCCAGGCAAGUUUUGACAAUUCUUUCUUCAAGGUAGCACUCUUACUGAUGUGUAUGUGGGACUGACUGAUGAGCAGGCACUUAGGCUAGCCAUGCAUGCAGGAGCAACUCGCUUUGUGCACAAGAUGGACGUACUCAUCGAGAUUUGGUAAGUUAAUCAAGAGGGGUUAAUCAAUACGCCCAAAAUUAUACGUAAUAAUACACAACCAUAUAAUUAUUAAUUAUUUUAUGGCACAUGUACGUAUAGGUAUAGAGCUUGUCAACACAAGUCCUAGGAAUAACAUUCAGCGACUCCCCAAAAAACACAUGAUUGUGUAUGCAGAAAUGUAAUUGCAGUUACUAUUUUGGAAAUCCAUCAGAUCUUUCUGUGUGGAAAAAUGAAUAGCUCGCCCAGAUCGAAAUUGUUGGUCUUCGAGGAUUUCUUGCUUCUGCUCUUCUCCACAGCAAAAGGCAGACCAGAAACAGUAUGUAUUAAAUAUGCAAGUGCGUAAGUAUAGAUAAUGUUAAUGGAAGUUCAAGUUUGUUUGGGAGGUGUGACUGUUACUGCGAGGCCAGCGUGGUAUGGUCAGGGUCCUGAGAAUCUGAUGAAUGCAUAUACUUUAUUUUGGCUCACCAUAUGGCGGUGUUCCAAUGAGCUGGCUCUGCUCAGCUGAAGGUGAUUCUGGCACUGUAAAGAGAAUAAGUACUACCGCUUGACCAAGUGGGGUGAGUUACGUACCAGUCACUACCUCCUCAUCCAAUAUAUGGGCCCAUACAUCUGUGUUUAUGGUCCAUAAACAUUCCUGACCCAAUCUGCGAAGGCCUUUGGCUUUUGAUUGAUACAGCAUACGUACUUCAGCAUAAAUUAUUGGAAGUUUGUUUGGGAGUGCCACUGUGACUGUGAGGCCAGCGUGGUAUGUCAGAGUCCUGAGAGUCUAUAGAUAGAUCUGAAUGUUUUACUUUGUUUUGGCUCACCAUAUAGUGGUGUUUCAGUAAGCUGGCUCUGCUCAGCUGAAGGUGAUUCUGGCACUGUAAGGAGCUACUGCUUGACCAAGUGGGGUGAGCUACGUACCAGUCACUACCUCAUCGGCCCAUACAUCUGUGUUUAUGGAACUUGUGGUCCCACCUGACCCAAUCUGCGAAAAGUUGCCUUUGGCUUUCGAUUGGGUUUUCCCUCACAAAUCACAUACUUCCUCUGUAUAUACAUAUACAGAUAGUUCUCUGUGUACUAAAUGCAAGUACUCACUAGGAGUGCCAGGCUUUUCAUGAAGUUCUUUCAAUUUCAUCGCCCAUAGGGGCCUUCAGUGUUCUGACUGUCUCCUUGGCCAGAUCACUACAUCUCUUCCAAGGGAAAUUUCUGUAGGGUUGGUGAUCUAGGACUUACGCGACCAAUACUUUUGUUACAGCCACAGACAAUUAUUUGAUGAUAAAUUGUACCUUGCGUCUCUCGCCAAUGCGCAUGUCACCUCAACCUCUUCUUUGCCCAUUUUAAUGUUGCAGCCAGAAUAUCUGGAUCUGCUGCAUCAUCUGUGUCCAUGGCUGCUGUCAUUUGUGCCUUGAUUGAUGGGUCUCCCACUUGCCUACUCUCAGACAUCAAAAAGAGCUUUGCCAAUUUGGAACCCAAGGAUGCCUGCAAUUGUAAAAUUGAUGUACAAUUUAUGAGAAUUUGUCCAUGUGUCCACACCUUACGAUGUGUUCUCCACAGCAAAACGUGGGUGCAUGUUCUUUUCAAUCGUAUAGCCCGGUAUUAAUUUUUUUGUUCCUCUCGAACCUGCCUAAGAUUUUCACUGAUUUCCUUCAAAACUUCUUACCUUAAAUAAACAUUCUCAGUGAUUUACAGUGAGGAUAAGUAGAGUGGUUGUGUUGCGGGUGAGCCUCAGUUGUCAGUUGUUUUUUUUAACGGUAUAUUCCGCCAUUGACCUUUGUCAGAGACAUCUCCCUCUGUAUACACACAAAUGCCGUCACGUAUAAUUAUUGGAACAAGGGAAUUUGUAUACCUUUCUGUCUUGAAAGACUUUUGUAGAACAAUCAAAAUGUAACCGUUUACUUAAGUGGUCAGUGCUUUCUCGACUGUAGUGAGCUGGAGUUUCCGAUGUCGAUUAAUACCAACCUUUUCCUACAAGUGUACACUGAUAUCAAUGUGUAGUGUGUAAUUGGACCACCACUGUGUAUUUAAAAUUGAUUUGCUUUGGCACUACUGUAUAUGAAUAGUAACUCACUUAUCUUUGUUUUUGGCUACAGGCAAACUGGACACCUUAUUAACUAAUUUGUAUUUAUGCCUUACUUUGGAAGUGCUUGGGAUAUCCUUUUUUGUCAUUGACAUACAGCUGCAAUACCCCCAGUAUGCGCAUGCUUAUUAAAACAUUAGGCUCUGGAGCGCCUCAUGCAUGCACACCAGACAUAAUAAGUAUUUUCUUUUGCACACAAAAAUAGGCAAGUAGUCAUACAUACUGAAAGACAGGUCCAGGCAAACAGCCUGUAAUCAAGACGUUUGGCCUGUAGAUCAUGCCGUAAACAGGACGUGGGCUAACGUCCUAUUUACAGCCUGUGAGAACGGCCUGUACACAGGACAUGGGUGGGCUACGUCCUGAUACGGGUCUGUUAUCUAACAGCCUGAAACGGACCGGACUCAUGGAUUUUUGGCUGUAUAUACAGUACAGAAAUGAUAAACGAAGCUGUAGCUGCAUGAUAAUAAUCAGUUUUGGUUCAUAACAUGGUAGGGUUCACUAUGCAGUAACUGUUCUUGUCUCUUCGAGGAACACUGAGAGUUAUGAUUUUAACUGUUCCGGGUCCAUCCGGCCUGGCUUCUGUUUCUAUGCUACAGCCAUGCAUAUAUUAAAAUAAUUUACUGCCCAUUCAGUAGACUCUUGUGUCUUUUUGGGAACGAUAGUGUAGCAAGCUUGCUGUUCCUUGUUAGCUAGCCGUAUACAGAACCGAGAAGCUUGGGCUGGGGGCUGGGGCUCAAGUGCAGGUUUUUUUGGCAAAAUAUUGUAUAUAUACGACGGUAAACUUCAAGUUAAGAUAGUACAUAGUUUACAAAGUCAGUAAACUUAGCGGUUCUUUGUAUUCCUUUUACAUCUGGCAGCUCAAGAAGUAAUUCUUGAAAAAAAGUAAAAACAUCCAUGCCGCCACAGGUUUGGGGUAGCUGACGUAGUAGCACAACGGUAAAUUCUGGCACUUAAAAAAAAGAAGUUUUCCUUGUGUGGAGGAGUUCUCGGUUUUGCUGGUGAAAAUAACCAAACGUGUUUCCGUAAACGAGUUCAUUUUCAAUAUAAUUAUCAGCAAUAUACUGAUUCCAUGCUGCAUGUGUGUGCAUGGCUGGGAAUUCCUCUUCUGCUCUGUGAAUUAAUUAAUGUAUAAUUAUAAUUGGUGAUCGUACUUCAGAAUCCUGUGUUGUAGUGUCCCAAAUUCCGAGGGCUUGUAGCAGAACUCGAAAACAAGAUUGCAGUGAUUGCCAAGUCAACACAUUGUCAUGUUCAAUAGCGCCUACGCUUGCCUGUAUGAUUUGUUCGACUCUGAUUAAUUAUUGCGCUCUCCUAUUUACACAAAAACUGUACUUUUCAUUGCUAGCAUCAAUGACUUGCAGUCUGCUGUGGUUUUGUCGUUUGAUGGCAACUUGAUUAUUCUACUAUUGGUAUUUGCUCUUGCUGUUCUGAUCUGUUUCGUUUUUACGUGAUAGCACGAGGCUAGUAAGAACAGUAUCUACCUGGGAUAGAAGUAAUAUAGCAAAUUAUAAUUAUAUCGCUAGAUGCAUAGUGCAGGUAAAAGGGUGCUAACAAUUUUUGAAACUGAGUGCCCUGAUAACGUCCUCAGGCAAUGUAUUCUCAGUGGUGGAUAACGUUAAUGAAGUAGGCACCAACGGGGUCAGGGUUUCAUCUAGGGUUAAAAGUGUGAUGUCAGGUUUACCCCUAGGUGAGUUUUUUUAUUUGUUUGUGACCUAUACAAAAACUUCUAACCUGGUAUGCGGUAAAAAAUUAUUUGUGGCAAAUCAUAAGCUUCGCUGCCGGGCUUGCACGUUGGCUCUAAAGCUAGUAUCCAGAUGCUGAUCAUUCCGAAGCACGGCACAUUCCAUAGGCAAUGGCACUAUGGUCGGCCAGACAAUGCAUCGACAUGCUGUUGGUACACCUCCUACUCCAAAAACUGUGUAAGAAAAGAAGGCAUGAGAUAAAGUCAGUUAUUUUGACCACCUGCAUGAUUUUUGAGGAGAGAGAGGAGUGAGAUUAGUCUGUAGUUUGAGUUAAUUUGUUGACCUCUAUGCAGUAGAAAAAAAGCAGGAAGUUUAGUUGCCUUGUAAGGAUACGGAUCUAAGUUAGGUCGACAAAAGGAUGCGACUUUUUAGGGGGGAUAGCUUGUGGAAGAAAUCCUGCAGAGAAUUGUUUGUUAGUGAAAGAGUGUAAGAAGCGAGCUUUGAGGAGUGUGAUAUCAUUCUAAACUUUUUGUGCUUUGAUCAGUUGCAAGGUGUCUGGCGGUUUUGUGUUUCUUGCAAGCUAUGGUAAUGUUAUGUAUAGGGAGGGUACAGUUCACAAUCUUUGAGGGGAUAUAAUAAUGGAGUCAGCAGACAUAUUAAAUUAUAGGCUAGUAAAUCCACAUUUUACAUUUUUUUUGUGUUUUGGGCAGGAGGAACCAAAACAAAGAGGUGAUCAUAAAAGAUAGAUGUGGAGGAGGUUGACUGUGUGGACUUGGAUAUAUGUUGCGUUUUAUUAACGCCUAGACAUGAUUUCGAGGUGCGUCAAUGUGUUAACAUCCAUCCCCCAGCAGGAGGAGAGUUCUGACGGGAGAAUGUCUAGUGCGUCCUCUACAUUCGGCUACUAAGCAAUUCCAACUUGGAGCAGAAAGGCCAAAUCACAGUUUUGACACAGAUGCAAAAAAUUUUGAUUACGGGAACUGCUGUCAAGUUCCCCUGGGUUGUGCAGGGAAGAUGGGGUAAUACGCCCAAGGCCAUCUUACCUGCACAAG
Long non-coding RNA from Halichondria panicea, 6606 nucleotides. RefSeq lists it as uncharacterized. Lineage: Eukaryota; Metazoa; Porifera; Demospongiae; Suberitida; Halichondriidae. The transcript has 3 exons. The record is from RefSeq and is a predicted model, not a curated record.